Molecule: ribosomal RNA, 497 nt
Filed under: uncultured bacterium
Lineage: Bacteria
Description: partial 16S ribosomal RNA
Rfam family: Bacterial small subunit ribosomal RNA
Source: RNAcentral
GAUGAACGCUGGCGGCGUGCCUAAUACAUGCAAGUCGAGCGAACGGGCGCGAAGCUUGCUUUUCUGAUGUUAGCGGCGGACGGGAGAGUAACACGUGGAUAACCUACCUAUAAGACUGGGAAAAUUUCGGGAAACCGGCGCUUAUACCGGAUAAUAUUUUGAACCGUAUGGUUCAAAAGUGAAAGACGGCCGUGCUGUCUCUUAUAGAGGGUUCUCCGCUGCAUUAGAUGGUUGGUAAGUUAACGGCUUACUAAGGGAACUAGGCAUAGCCGACGUGAGGGGGUGAUAGCCCACAUGGGAACGGGGACGCGGACAAGGCUCCUACGGGAGGCAGCAGUAGGGAAUCUUCCGCAAUGGGCGAGAGCCUGACGGAGCAGCGCCGCGUGAGUGAUGAAGAUCUUCGGAUCGUAAAACUCUGUUAUUAGGGAAGAACAGAUGUGUAAGUAACUGUGCACAUCUUGACGGUACCUAAUCAGAAAGCAACGGCUAACUACGUG